GUAUUUGCUCGUAGACCCGAAACCAGUUUUUCUACCCUUGGUUAUGUUGAAGUUCAGGUAACACUGAAUGGAGGACCGAACCGACUUACGUUGAAAAGUGAGCGGAGGAACUGAGGGUAGCGGAGAAAUUCCAAUCGAACUAGGAGAGAGCUGGUUCUCUCCGAAAUAGCUUUAGGGCUAGCCUCAAGAGAUGAUUAUUGGAGGUAGAGCACUGUUUGGACGACGCGCCCCUCUCGGGUCACCGAAUUCAGACAAACUCCGAAUGCCAAAUCACUCUAAAUUGGGAGUCAGAAUGUGGGUGAUAAGGUCCAUAUUCGACAGGGAACUGACGCACACCACCA
This 341-nucleotide ribosomal RNA is filed under the name Staphylococcus pseudintermedius. Its description in RNAcentral is "bacterial LSU rRNA". It matches the Rfam family "Bacterial large subunit ribosomal RNA", at positions 699 to 1037 of the family's 2925-position model. Lineage: Bacteria; Bacillati; Bacillota; Bacilli; Caryophanales; Staphylococcaceae. The record is from RNAcentral.